CUGCUGCCUUCCGUAGGAGUCUGGGCCGUGUCUCAGUCCCAAUGUGGCCGAUCAACCUCUCAGUCCGGCUACUGAUCGUCGACUUGGUGGGCCGUUACCUCACCAACUAUCUAAUCAGACGCGAGCCCAUCUUUCAGCGAUAAAUCUUUGGUACCAAAAGGGUGCCCUUCCGGCACGUUAUGCGGUAUUAGCGGUCGUUUCCAACUGUUGUCCCCCACUGAAAGGCAGGUUGCUCACGUGUUACUCACCCGUCCGCCA
This 258-nucleotide ribosomal RNA is filed under the name uncultured bacterium. RNAcentral describes it as "partial 16S ribosomal RNA". The record is from RNAcentral.